RNAcentral lists this ribosomal RNA (253 nucleotides) under uncultured bacterium. Its description in RNAcentral is "partial 16S ribosomal RNA". It matches the Rfam family "Bacterial small subunit ribosomal RNA", at positions 524 to 776 of the family's 1533-position model. The record is from RNAcentral.
UACAGAGGGUGCAAGCGUUAAUCGGAAUUACUGGGCGUAAAGCGUGCGCAGGCGGUUUGCUAAGACCGAUGUGAAAUCCCCGGGCUUAACCUGGGAACUGCAUUGGUGACUGGCAGGCUAGAGUAUGGCAGAGGGGGGUAGAAUUCCACGUGUAGCAGUGAAAUGCGUAGAGAUGUGGAGGAAUACCGAUGGCGAAGGCAGCCCCCUGGGCCAAUACUGACGCUGAGACGCGAAAGCGUGGGGAGCAAACAGG